This 491-nucleotide ribosomal RNA is filed under the name uncultured bacterium. Its description in RNAcentral is "partial 16S ribosomal RNA". It matches the Rfam family "Bacterial small subunit ribosomal RNA", at positions 29 to 507 of the family's 1533-position model. The record is from RNAcentral.
GUGCACGCUGGCGGUAGGCCUAACCCAUGCCAGUCGCACGGCAGCACAGUAAGCGCUUGCUCUUACGGGUGGCGAGUGGCGGACGGGUGAGGAAUACAUCGGAAUCUACUUUUUCGUGGGGGAUAACGUAGGGAAACUUACGCUAAUACCGCAUACGACCUACGGGUGAAAGCAGGGGAUCUUCGGACCUUGCGCGAUUGAAUGAGCCGAUGUCGGAUUAGCUAGUUGGCGGGGUAAAGGCCCACCAAGGCGACGAUCCGUAGCUGGUCUGAGAGGAUGAUCAGCCACACUGGAACUGAGACACGGUCCAGACUCCUACGGGAGGCAGCAGUGGGGAAUAUUGGACAAUGGGCGCAAGCCUGAUCCAGCCAUACCGCGUGGGUGAAGAAGGCCUUCGGGUUGUAAAGCCCUUUUGUUGGGAAAGAAAAGCAGCAGGUUAAUACCCCGCUGUUCUGACGGUACCCAAAGAAUAAGCACCGGCUAACUUCGUG